UACGGGGGGGGCAAGCGUUGUUCGGAAUUACUGGGCGUAAAGGGCUCGUAGGCGGCCAACUAAGUCAGACGUGAAAUCCCUCGGCUUAACCGGGGAACUGCGUCUGAUACUGGAUGGCUGGAGGUUGGGAGAGGGAUGCGGAAUUCCAGGUGUAGCGGUGAAAUGCGUAGAUAUCUGGAGGAACACCGGUGGCGAAGGCGGCAUCCUGGACAGUUACUGACGCUGAGGUGCGAAAGCGUGGGGAGCAAACAGG
RNAcentral lists this ribosomal RNA (253 nucleotides) under uncultured bacterium. RNAcentral describes it as "partial 16S ribosomal RNA". It matches the Rfam family "Bacterial small subunit ribosomal RNA", at positions 524 to 776 of the family's 1533-position model. The record is from RNAcentral.